Molecule: long non-coding RNA, 1341 nt
Organism: Micropterus dolomieu (smallmouth bass)
Lineage: Eukaryota; Metazoa; Chordata; Actinopteri; Centrarchiformes; Centrarchidae
Exons: 4
Source: RefSeq, a predicted model, not a curated record
CCGCGGUUGCUGGAGCUAAUGGCGGCCAUUAGAGUCCACCAGACGCGGCCGCAGUGCAUCCCAGAAGCGGCUCUCUGCUCCACAGAGAACAGAUAGCCAGUCUAUUUUUGCCACUAUUUUUCCAGUCGAUUUUGAUGCCAGGCUACGGACGCAUUAAAACCGUGGCGCAGCCGUAACGUGCCGGAGUCAGUGGAUUCCUCACCCCGGACUCACACAGGAUGCGUGUGAACCGCGGUUUAGUUGUGUCCUCUGAUCAGCGUCAACUUCCACUGGAAACCCCUCAGCAUUUCAGCAGCUGAGUGUGCAGCCUGCCCCACGUUAAUGUCUUGUUUUUUCGACAGUGGUUGUCCAUCACACAAGGCGGUGACUAGAACUGGAUUCUAUUGGCUCAGACGGUCCAGACACUUGCGCAUGCGCGAAGUGGGUCUGUGUCGUCGUCGUCGUGAAUUUGGAGGUAACAGCUCAAACGAGAUUUGGAAGAACACGAACUGAAAGUCUCUUUCAACGAUGUAUCACAAAAAAUGGAGACGACAAAAUGCACAAUUACGCGCAUUGGUGGAGUCUAGUGACUCAGAUGAGAAUCCAGGCCCCUCUUUUGCUGAUAGCCCAAAAGACAUACAGACACAGGAGCAGUCUGAUACAGGAGAAGACGAGUAUCGAGAUGAUCACCACCCGCCAGACAGUGAUGGUGAAAGUGAUUCAGAAAUUGGAACUUUGUCUGAGGAGGAAUCAAGUGAUCUAAGAAGUGAUUUGGCAAAAUGGGCUGUAAAAAAUAAGGCAACGCGCACAUCGGUUGAUGAGCUACUCUUGGUGUUACGUAAACAUGGCCACCGGCUGCCAAAAGAUGCCAGCACCCUGUUAGGAACUCCACCUCAAAUAGAAGUCAGGGAUCUAUGUGGUGGCCAGUUCCUCUACUUUGGUGUGGAGACGGGACUUUUGAAAAUGUGCUCACAGUAUCCCAAUUUCUUUUCAACAGAAAAUGAGAUGCUGCUAAAUUUCAGUGUAGAUGGUGUGAUCAUCCAACUUGCACGUUGAUAAAUACUAAUUUAUAUACUUGAAACAUUGGCAAUGCCACAAAAGACGCUGUCUUGAGCUCAUUUGCUACAACAAAUACAGAAGUAGACCAAUACAUAGCCAAAUACCUUAAAUAUGCACCAGAGAGGAUGGGUGGCGGUGGCAGAAAGUAACGAGGGAAGAUUUAAUGAACUAUCCCUUUAACCAGCCAUACAUGUUGCCUAAUGUUUGGGCCGUUUUUCUAAAGUUUAUAGUACGACGUGUAAAAUUGUUCUGUGAAAUGUUGGCACACUUGCAGCCAUGUAAUAAAGCACUUUUCUUACGCCA